AUGAUCAGGUGGAACUAGGCUUGAUAAUCACAUAUCUUGUUUACCUAGGGUUGAUAUUUUCAUCUACCAUGAAUCCUAAUGUCUGCCUGUCUUGUUAGCCCAAAGUUGGCAUGUUACAUAUUAUUAGUUGUUUAGAAUCUUUGUGCUAUAGUUAAUGUUUGUCAUUUUAUGUUUCAUGUUCAACUAAGUAUGUUUGCCAAACUAUGUUACUUGUAUGUUGUUAUGCCAGGCUUUGAUGUUAAAAUUCUCAUAUAAAGAUUUCAUUCCACCCCCUUCUUGUUUGCGAUUCUGCUAGGCUGUCAUCGGAAGUUCUUUAGGUUGGUUCUACUUUGAGACAUUGUUUGCAUUAAUUUGCUAGCUUGUGAUAUCCUAUCUUGUCAUUGUUAAAUCUUGUUUUCUGGAUUUACUUGCCCAAAUGUAUCUUUGGUUCCUUUCAACUUAGCAUGGCCUUGUUUAUUUGUUGAAACUGCAACUAUUUCAGUUGUAAGAACUAAGUGUUUAAGUUAUUCUAUGAGUAGUUCAUUUACUUGUAUGGCUAAAUUUGGCAUCCAUUAGCUUAAUUACUUCAAUUGUUUGGGCCUGGUAUGUUGGGUCUCCUUUGGUAUUAGGUCUGCCUUUGGUACAUUGUCUACACCUGGAGUUUGGACCUGCUGUCCGCAAGUUUCGAGUCUAUUUGAGGCCCAGAUAUGUUACUGGGUUAUUCUUUAUUUGUAAUUGGGCAUGUAUUGUUCAAUAUGGUUUGUAAUAACUUGUAAAACUGAAUGAUGGGGAUAUUAGUUAAGAAAGGGGGACGAGGGUUGGGGUAUUAUAAUUCUUGCAUGAAUGGGUAGAAAAUAUGUCCAUAGGGUUUAAUUGCUUUGUUUGAUAUUUGUUUGACUUACUUUAAUUCUGCACACUAAUAGAAAGCAUGCUUAUAGGAACUCAAACACGUCACCUACUGAACCUGUCUAAUGCUCGCACAUUGUCAGAAACGUGUUUGUAUUAACCUAAGUGUUUUAUUUAUUCAUGUGUUUACUUUUAUGCACUAUUACAUAGCAUGACUAUAGGAAUCAAAUAUAAUUUAGUAUUUGCUCAAUUUGUGCAAUUGCAGUGUGAUUAUUAGAAAACAUGCCUACAAGAUCGUGUUAAAUAAUUAAUAUAUGCUUCCACUGAUAUUCAUCUAUAGACCAUGUCUAUAAGGCCUUAAUUGAUUAACUAAUUGGUUGCCUUGUUGUUCCUAUCACAUUGCCGCAUAGACAACAUGCCCAUAGGAAUAAACAUAAUAAAUUUGUGUUCAAAUACCAACUAUUAGAGAAUCUGCAUGUAGGAUACUACUACUCGGUUAGAAAGCAUGCUAAAUGGAUUAAAAAAAUGAGUAAUUAUGAGUUUUCCAAUGGCCUGACUUCCCCAAGCGCAAAUCAUUUGGAGACCAUGUUUAUAGGCUUUUAUAACAUUUCUAAUUUGUAAAUUCAAUAAUCUGGUCAGCAGCACUACCCAUGAGAUGUUCUUAAACUAUGUGGUCACAUAGAAGCCAUGACUAUAUAUUUUAACAACUCCAAUAUAUCUCGAUUCUAAAAUCGCCUACUCUAGAUCUGAAUAUGUCCGCGUGCUUUUGUUGCUUAUAUGUGGAGGCUAACUUGAGCCACUCGUUGUUUUUACAUGUAGCCGAACUUAUUUUUGAACAUGCUCGUAGUUUUAUCAUUUUGAAUGCCCUAAGUAAAGUCUAGAACCACCCAAAUAGUAGGUCCAAAGCUUCUUGGAGCAUAGGCAUGAGACGGGUAGUGUAGACAUAGGAUACAACCUAGAAUUGAACUAGAGCACUUUAGGUAAGCAACUUUAAUAUAGUAAUUGGGUAGCAGGAGAUGAAAGUCUAUGCCCACUGAAUAAUAUGAGCAACCCCUACCCUAAGGUAAUUGCAAAGUAUUAUUUAUAUUGCACGGGAUGAUCCUUUAGGCUAAAAAAAUUAGGACCCCACUUUAUAUGUUUGUUACUCGCGCCUUUGUUUCUUUGAACUUAGAACAACUAAA
RNAcentral lists this long non-coding RNA (2006 nucleotides) under Nicotiana benthamiana. RNAcentral describes it as "long non-coding RNA (NBEN_LNC031133)". The record is from RNAcentral. Lineage: Eukaryota; Viridiplantae; Streptophyta; Magnoliopsida; Solanales; Solanaceae.